RNAcentral lists this ribosomal RNA (404 nucleotides) under Bacteroidota bacterium. Its description in RNAcentral is "Bacteroidetes bacterium partial 16S ribosomal RNA". It matches the Rfam family "Bacterial small subunit ribosomal RNA", at positions 355 to 776 of the family's 1533-position model. Lineage: Bacteria; Pseudomonadati; Bacteroidota. The record is from RNAcentral.
UGGGGAAUAUUGCACAAUGGGGGAAACCCUGAUGCAGCGACGCCGCGUGAGCGAUGAAGGCUUUCGAGUCGUAAAGCUCUGUCCUAUGGGAAGAUAAUGACGGUACCAUAGAAGAAAGCCCCGGCUAAUUACGUGCCAGCAGCCGCGGUAAUACGUAAGGGGCGAGCGUUGUCCGGAAUUAUUGGGCGUAAAGAGUGCGUAGGCGGCAAAUUAAGUCAGAUGUGAAAACUAAGGGCUCAACCCCUAGAUUGCAUCUGAAACUGAUAUGCUUGAGUCAAGGAGAGGAAAGUGGAAUUCCUAGUGUAGCGGUGGAAUGCGUAGAUAUUAGGAGGAAUACCGGUGGCGAAGGCGACUCUCUGGUCUGUAACUGACGCUGAGGCUCGAAAGCGUGGGUAGCAAACAGG